GACGAACGCUGGCGGCGUGCUUAACACAUGCAAGUCGAACGGAAAGGCCUGCUUUCCCUUGUGGAUUGCGGGUACUCGAGUGGCGAACGGGUGAGUAACACGUGAGUGAUCUGCCCCCAACUUGGGUAUAAGCCUGGGAAACUGGGUCUAAUUCCCGAUAGGACUGCAGGGUGGUGCCUGUGGUGGAAAACGAUUUUCUAGUGGUUGGGGAUGAGCUCGCGGCCUAUCAGCUUGUUGGUGGGGUAAUGGCCUACCAAGGCGGCGACGGGUAGCCGGCCUGAGAGGGUGGACGGCCACAUUGGGACUGAGAUACGGCCCAGACUCCUACGGGAGGCAGCAGUGGGGAAUAGUGCACAAGGGGCGGAAGCCUGAUGCAGCGACGCCGCGUGGGGGAUGACGGCCUUCGGGUUGUAAACUCCUUUCGACCGCGAGGAAGCCACCUGGUUGGAAGGGUGGUGACGGUAGUGGUAGAAGAAGCACCGGCUAACUACGUG
This 494-nucleotide ribosomal RNA is filed under the name uncultured bacterium. RNAcentral's name for it is "partial 16S ribosomal RNA". It matches the Rfam family "Bacterial small subunit ribosomal RNA", at positions 28 to 507 of the family's 1533-position model. The record is from RNAcentral.